CCUACGGGAGGCAGCAGUGAGGAAUAUUGGUCAAUGGGCUUACGCCUGAACCAGCCAAGUCGCGUGAGGGAAGACUGCCCUAUGGGUUGUAAACCUCUUUUGUCAGGGAGCAACGCCGGCUACGUGUAGCCGGACUGAGAGUACCUGAAGAAAAAGCAUCGGCAAACCCCGUGCCAGCAGCCGCGGUAAUACGGGGUAUGCGAGCGUUAUCCGGAUUUAUUGGGUUAAGAGGGUGCGUAGGCGGAAUGCCAAGUCAGCGGUAAAACCGCGGGGCUAAAGCUCGCUGCGCCGUUGAAACUGGCGUUCUUGAGUGGGCGAGAAGUAUGCGGAAUGCGUGGUGUAGCGGUGAAAUGCAUAGAUAUCGAGAGGAACACUCGUGGCGAAGGCGGGUUCCUGGACAUUAACUGACGCUGAGGCACGAAGGCCAGGGGAGCGAAAGGGAUUAGAUACCCCUGUAGUC
Molecule: ribosomal RNA, 460 nt
Filed under: uncultured bacterium
Lineage: Bacteria
Description: partial 16S ribosomal RNA
Rfam family: Bacterial small subunit ribosomal RNA
Source: RNAcentral